CUACGGGUUGCUGCAGUGAGGAAUUUUGCGCAAUGGGGGAAACCCUGACGCAGCAACGCCGCGUGAGUGAAGAAGGCCCUUGGGUCGUAAAGCUCUGUCAAUGGGGAAGAAGUUAUUAUGUGUUAAUAGCACAUUUUAUUGACGGUACCCAUGAAGGAAGCACCGGCUAACUCCGUGCCAGCAGCCGCGGUAAUACGGGGAGGUGCAAGGGUGUUCGGAAUUAUUGGGCGUAAAGGGCACGCAGGCGGUCCUGUCAGUCAGAUGUGAAAGCCCGGGGCUCAACCCCGGACGUGCAUUUGAAACAGCAGAACUUGAGUACGGGAGAGGAAAGGGGAAUUCCUGGUGUAGAGGUGAAAUUCGUAGAUAUCAGGAGGAACACCGGUGGCGAAGGCGCCUUUCUGGACCGAUACUGACGCUGAGGUGCGAAGGCGUGGGUAGCGAACGGGAUUAGAUACCCUCGUAGUC
This 465-nucleotide ribosomal RNA is filed under the name uncultured bacterium. Its description in RNAcentral is "partial 16S ribosomal RNA". It matches the Rfam family "Bacterial small subunit ribosomal RNA", at positions 339 to 795 of the family's 1533-position model. The record is from RNAcentral.